UCUAUUUCGUUGCUUCAUCCAUACAGCUGCGCAGUUCUGGACGCGUGCCAAUCUCUGCCACGUGCUUGCUUCUAGAAUUCACGUUGUAUCUUGUGCUUUUUGUCUCAGUUGUAGAAAAUAGUCUUGUACAGUCUUUAUGAUUUGAAAACUCUCUUUUUCUUACAAACCACAGUUCUUCUAUGAUAGUCAGUCUAGAUUCUUUUUUUCUCUUCAAGUUUGUUUUCCCAGUUCCAAAAUAGCUUUGUAACUCGAUUCUUCUCUCUCCCCCCUUGAAGUGGGAACAAAACUUGAAUAGAAGACUAGCAGGCUAGCCAAUGUAAAAUGUACUUUGGAUUGGUGAUAAUG
Molecule: non-coding RNA, 345 nt
Organism: Pelobates cultripes (western spadefoot toad)
Lineage: Eukaryota; Metazoa; Chordata; Amphibia; Anura; Pelobatidae
Source: the annotation of a GenBank genome assembly